GCCUGUUUAUCAAAAACAUGGCCUUUUGUGAAUAAUUUAAGGUCUGGCCUGCCCAAUGAUUUGGUUAAAUGGCCGCGGUACUCUGACCGUGCAAAGGUAGCAUAAUCAUUAGUUUUUUAAUUGAAAGCUGGUAUGAACGGUCGGACAAGAAAAUUACUGUCUCAAUUUAAUGGUUUUAGAAUUUUAUUUUUUAGUCAGAAGGCUAAAAUGGUCUUAAGGGACGAGAAGACCCUAUAGAAUUUUAUAAAUUUUAUUGGGUUGGGUUUUUAGAUUUAUUAAUUAGACUUGGUAAAAUUUAUUUUGUUGGGGUGAUGGAAAAAUUUAAGAAACUUUUUUUGUAAAAAAAUCAUUAAUUUAUGAUUGGGUGAUCCGUUUAUAGCGAUUACAAGAUUAAAUUACCUUAGGGAUAACAGCGUUAUUAGUCUGGGGAGUUCUUAUCGAUAGACUAGUUUGCGACCUCGAUGUUGGAUUAAAAUAAACUUUUGGUGUAGGGGCUGGAAAGUUAAGUCUGUUCGACUUUUAAAAUUUUACAUGAUCUGAGUUCAGACCGG
Molecule: ribosomal RNA, 551 nt
Filed under: Serrognathus reichei clypeatus
Lineage: Eukaryota; Metazoa; Arthropoda; Insecta; Coleoptera; Lucanidae
Description: partial 16S ribosomal RNA
Rfam family: Archaeal large subunit ribosomal RNA
Source: RNAcentral